GGAAUCAAAACAAAAAAAUGGAGAUAACAUUGAUAUGGCCCAUUGAGAAUGAAUAAGACCAACCACUAAAAUUUUUGCCUGAUUAACGAUAUUUUUGGUGGGAUAUGGGUGGUGUUGGUGGGUUCGGGGUUCAAACAAUGAUGGUUUGGGCCUUUUCCGACGAUAGUACGAUGAAGGAGUGACCAACGAUGCUUUUCAAUUGAGAUUUCGAUGAUGGUUCGUCGGAAAAACUUCCCCUCGCUGAUUUUCUCACUCCUUCACUCUCUUUAUUUUGCCAUUUCUAAUUUUGAUAUCUUCUACUUUUUCUACC
RNAcentral lists this long non-coding RNA (310 nucleotides) under Capsicum annuum. RNAcentral's name for it is "long non-coding RNA (CANN_LNC017020)". Lineage: Eukaryota; Viridiplantae; Streptophyta; Magnoliopsida; Solanales; Solanaceae. The record is from RNAcentral.